RNAcentral lists this transfer RNA (71 nucleotides) under archaeon. Its description in RNAcentral is "tRNA-Trp". It matches the Rfam family "tRNA". From Rfam's summary of the family: Transfer RNA (tRNA) molecules are approximately 80 nucleotides in length. The record is from RNAcentral.
GGGUCUGUAGUAUACCGGUAUUAUGUCAGCCUCCAGAGCUGAAGAAGGGGGUUCAAUUCCCUCCAGGCCCA